GGUCCCUUCAAGCGAGCUUGGAGGUGAUAGGGAUGGAUCAUCAGGCGAGCAGGCUCGUUUGAUGGGGCCCUAGCGGCGGACGGGUGAGUAACGCGUGGGAACGUGCCCUUCACUGCGGGAUAGUCCCGGGAAACUGGGUUUAAUACCGCAUACGCCCCUUCGGGGGGAAAGAUUUAUCGGUGAGGGAUCGGCCCGCGUUGGAUUAGGUAGUUGGUGGGGUAAUGGCCUACCAAGCCGACGAUCCAUAGCUGGUUUGAGAGGAUGAUCAGCCACACUGGGACUGAGACACGGCCCAGACUCCUACGGGAGGCAGCAGUGGGGAAUCUUGGACAAUGGGGGCAACCCUGAUCCAGCCAUGCCGCGUGGACGAUGAAGGCCCUAGGGUUGUAAAGUCCUUUCGCCGGGGAAGAUAAUGACGGUACCCGGUAAAGAAGCCCCGGCUAACUCCGUGCCAGCAGCCGCGGUAAUACGGAGGGGGCUAGCGUUGUUCGGAAUUACUGGGCGUAAAGCGCGCGUAGGCGGAUCGUUAAGUCAGGGGUGAAAUCCCGGGGCUCAACCCCGGAACUGCCCUUGAUACUGGCGGUCUGGAGUCCGAGAGAGGUGAGUGGAAUUCCGAGUGUAGAGGUGAAAUUCGUAGAUAUUCGGAGGAACACCAGUGGCGAAGGCGGCUCACUGGCUCGGUACUGA
RNAcentral lists this ribosomal RNA (687 nucleotides) under uncultured Pseudomonadota bacterium. Its description in RNAcentral is "bacterial SSU rRNA". It matches the Rfam family "Bacterial small subunit ribosomal RNA", at positions 1 to 743 of the family's 1533-position model. Lineage: Bacteria; Pseudomonadati; Pseudomonadota. The record is from RNAcentral.